GGAUUGAAGAGGUGACACUUGGAAUAGUGUGUGGGGUGGUCUUCGUGAUGGGUUUCAAUGAGGUGAAGCUGGGAGUACUUUGUGAGAUUGUCUCGGUUGUGGGGAUUGAAAAACUGAAGCUGGAAGUACUGUGUAAGGCGGUCUCGGUUGUGAAGAUUGAAGAGGUGAGGCUGGUAGUACUGUGUGAGGUGGUCUCAGUAGUGGCUAUUGAAGAGGUGAAGCUGGGAGAACUGUGUACGGUGGUCUCGGUGGUGGGUAUUGAAGGGGUGAAGCUGGGAGUACUGUGUGAGGUGGUCUUGGUGGUGGGUAUUGAAGAGGUGAAGCUGGGAGUAGUGUAAGAGGUGAUCUCUGUUGUGUGGAUUGAAGAGGUAAAGGUCGGAGUACUGCCUGAGGUGGUCUUAGUGGUGGGGAUUGAAGAAGUGAAGCUGGGAGUACUGUGUGACACGGUCCCGGUGGUGGGGAUUGAAAAGGUGAACCUGGGAGUACUAUGUGAGAUUGUCUCGGUGGUGAAGAUUGAAGAAGUGAAGCUGGGAGUACUGUGUGAGAUGGUCUUGGUGGUGGGGAUUGAAGAGGUGAAGCUGGGAGUACUGUGCGAGGUGGUCUCAGUGGUGGGGAUUGAAGAGGUGAAACUGGGAGUACUGUGUGAAGUGGUCUCAGUGCUGGUGAUUGAAGAGGUGAAACUGGGAGUGCUGUGUGAGAUGGUCUCGGUGGUGGGGAUUGAAGAAGUGACGCUGGAAGUACUGUGUGAGAUCGUCUCAGUGCUGGUGAUUGAAGAGGUGAAGCUGGGAAUACUGUGUGAGGUGGUCUCUGUGGUCUCUGUGGUCUCAGUGGUGGGGAUUGAAGAGGUGACACUGGGAGUACUGUGUGAGGUAGUCUCAGUGCUGGUGAUUGAAGAGGUGAAAUUGGGAGUACUGUGUGAGGUGGUCUCUGUGGUGAAGACUGAAGAAGUGAAGCUGGGAGUACUGUGUGAGGUGAUCUCAGUGCUGAUGACUGAAGAGGUGAAAUUGGGAGUACUGGGUGAAGUGGUCUUGGUGGUGGGGAUUGAAGAGGUGAAACUGGGACUACUGGGUGAUGUGGUCUCAGUGCUGGUGAUUGAAGAAGUAAAGCUAGAAGUACUGUGGGAUGUGAUCUCAGUGGUGGUGGUGAACAAGUUUGUUGUAGGAGUCGUGGCUGUUUCUGUGGUCCGGAGAAAGGAAGAGGUGGGUGGGAGAGUAAUGGUGGUGGACAAUAUACCUGUUGUAGUUGUGGAAAAGGUGAUUUUGGUCGUGGAGUCUGGGACAGUGCUAGUGGGAAAAGUAGGGUGGGUGGUCUCAGAUGUAGGUCUGUCUCUUAUACACAUCUAG
This 1343-nucleotide long non-coding RNA is filed under the name Aotus nancymaae (Ma's night monkey). RNAcentral's name for it is "lncRNA (ENSANAG00000038813.1)". Lineage: Eukaryota; Metazoa; Chordata; Mammalia; Primates; Aotidae. The record is from RNAcentral.